AGCGAACGCUGGCGGCAGGCCUAACACAUGCAAGUCGAACGAACCUUUCGGGGUUAGUGGCGGACGGGUGAGUAACACGUGGGAACGUGCCUUUAGGUUCGGAAUAACUCAGGGAAACUUGUGCUAAUACCGAAUGUGCCCUUCGGGGGAAAGAUUUAUCGGCUUUAGAGCGGCCCGCGUCUGUUUAGCUAGUUGGUUGAGGUAAUGGCUCACCAAGGCGACGAUCAGGAGCUGGUCUGAGAGGAUGAUGCGCCACAUUGGGACUGGGCCACGGCCCAAAAUCCUUCGGGAGGGAGGCAUGGGGGAUCCUGCCCAAUCGGGUGAAGCAUGAAGGCGCCAUGGCGGGUAAACGCUUAAGGUCUUAAGGAUAUAAAAUUCUUUCACCCGGGGCGGUUAUGACGGUACCCAGAGAAGAAGCCCCGGCUAACUUCGUG
This 434-nucleotide ribosomal RNA is filed under the name uncultured bacterium. RNAcentral's name for it is "partial 16S ribosomal RNA". It matches the Rfam family "Bacterial small subunit ribosomal RNA", at positions 29 to 507 of the family's 1533-position model. The record is from RNAcentral.